This 186-nucleotide small RNA is filed under the name Arabidopsis thaliana (thale cress). Its description in RNAcentral is "ATSL243440". The record is from RNAcentral. Lineage: Eukaryota; Viridiplantae; Streptophyta; Magnoliopsida; Brassicales; Brassicaceae.
CCAAUAACAUUAAACCAUAACACAAAUUCGAUUUCACAAAGUAAAAAAUUGAAAAUCAGCAUCCACACGUUUGGUAGAUUCAUCAUUGUUCGUUGCAACACACAAUCAAAACCACAUAAUAGCCAAUGUUUCAAAGAAGAUUCUGAAUUCGUAUCUCAAAUCAAAUCUUCAUUUUUGAGUUCAUAU